Long non-coding RNA from Entelurus aequoreus (snake pipefish), 865 nucleotides. RefSeq lists it as uncharacterized. The transcript has 3 exons. The record is from RefSeq and is a predicted model, not a curated record. Lineage: Eukaryota; Metazoa; Chordata; Actinopteri; Syngnathiformes; Syngnathidae.
AGUCGUCUGUGCCGUGGUAGUGGGUGGUGCCGUGGUGGUCGAUGCUACGCUGCUAUGGAAUGCAGUUGAUGCGGUAGGUCCGGCAGCUGUCGAUUCCGCCGUUUCAAGAACCAUCUCGGCUCCACCAUCCUCAGACUGGGUUUCGGUGACGUGAUGGCGUGCGUAUGUUUUGGCCGGGUUGUCUGGCAUGGAGGAGCGGAGCAUUGGGGUUGAGGGAGGACGGCGGCGCGGUGCAGGAACACUUGCAGUCGGAACCAGAGCUGACCGUUUCCACCGAGUAGAAGUCCUCCGCGCGCACGCUGCCGCUGCGCAGCCGCAGACAGGCGUCCCUGCUCAGCGGUCGCAUGAUGCACUUGCAGCGGCAGUCCGAGCCCUCUGAUACCAUCCGAACAGGCUCGGUCUCCCCAAAGAUCUGCAGGCUGACCUACCAGCAGGAAGACUGGUGAUGAAGAUCAUGCUGGAAUUAGCACACUUGCAGUCUUUGACUUUGACCUGUCAGGUAUUAAGUCCAAAGAAGCAACCCUCAAGCAUCAACACAAGUCUGCACAAUGGGAGGAAAAAGACCUCCAUUAGAUCAACCACUGCAGUUUUUUUUUUUAUUUCAAAGGGGAACUGCACUGUUUUGGAAUCUUGUCUAGCAUUCACAUAAGACAAAAAUACAUACAGUAUAUAUAUAUAUUUUUUGUGCAUUCGAACUUGUUAAUAAACGCUAGCAAACGUCAGCUAACGAUAGAGUUAACAGGUUUCAUUCUAUUACACCUAUAAAGUGCUCUAAAAAACAUCCCAAAACCCAUAUCUACAUUUUAUAUACACACUGUAAGUACAUAUGUAAUGUACUAUCUGUCACAUUCAAAAUAACAUGUCA